Molecule: ribosomal RNA, 119 nt
Filed under: Xenopus tropicalis (tropical clawed frog)
Lineage: Eukaryota; Metazoa; Chordata; Amphibia; Anura; Pipidae
Source: RNAcentral
CCUAACGGCCAUACCACCCUCAAAGUGCCCGAUCUCGUCUGAUCUCGGAAGCUAAGCAGGGACGGGCUUGGUUAGUACCUGGAUGGGAGUCCGCCUGGGAAUACCAGGUGUUGUAGGCU